GUCGUACGAGAAAUCCUCUGCUUGCAGGGGAGAGUAAAGUGGCGCACGGGUGAGUAUCGCGUGGGUAAUCUACCCUUGAAUUCAGGAUAACACUUCGAAAGGGGUGCUAAUACUGGAUAACAUCCUGAUGGUUUCGGCCAUAAGGAUCAAAGAUAGCCUCUACAUGUAAGCUAUAGUUCAGGGAUGAGCCCGCGUACCAUUAGCUAGUUGGUGGGGUAAGAGCCUACCAAGGCAACGAUGGUUAGCUGGUCUGAGAGGAUGAUCAGCCACACUGGAACUGAAACACGGUCCAGACUCCUACGGGAGGCAGCAGUGAGGAAUUUUGCGCAAUGGGGGAAACCCUGACGCAGCAACGCCGCGUGAGUGAAGAAGGCUUUCGGGUCGUAAAGCUCUGUCAAGAGGGAAGAAAGUGGGAGAUGGUAAUACUGUUUUCUAUUGACGGUACCUCUGAAGGAAGCACCGGCUAACUCCGUGCCAGCAGCCGCGGUAAUACGGGGGGUGCAAGCGUUAUUCGGAUUUAUUGGGCGUAAAGAGCGCGUAGGCGGUUUAUCAAGUCAGAUGUGAAGGCCCUGGGCUC
This 577-nucleotide ribosomal RNA is filed under the name uncultured Desulfobacteraceae bacterium. RNAcentral describes it as "bacterial SSU rRNA". It matches the Rfam family "Bacterial small subunit ribosomal RNA", at positions 61 to 610 of the family's 1533-position model. The record is from RNAcentral. Lineage: Bacteria; Pseudomonadati; Thermodesulfobacteriota; Desulfobacteria; Desulfobacterales; Desulfobacteraceae.